GGCCAAUGAUGAAAAAAAUAGUUUUUUUGUGUAAUGUAUGAGUUUUAAUGAUUACAUAUUACCUCUACUGCCUUCCUUCUGAGGCC
Small nucleolar RNA from Malania oleifera, 86 nucleotides. RefSeq annotates it as small nucleolar RNA U83. The transcript has a single exon. The record is from RefSeq and is a predicted model, not a curated record. NCBI's taxonomy places the organism in Eukaryota, Viridiplantae, Streptophyta, Magnoliopsida, Santalales, Ximeniaceae.